This 69-nucleotide transfer RNA is filed under the name Marmota monax (woodchuck). Its description in RNAcentral is "tRNA.Leu". Lineage: Eukaryota; Metazoa; Chordata; Mammalia; Rodentia; Sciuridae. The record is from RNAcentral.
GGGGCUGUAGAUCAGUGGUAAAGUGCUUACUUAGCAUAAGUGGGGCCCUGGGUUCCAUUCCCAGCUCCA